UACGGAGGGUGCGAGCGUUGUCCGGAAUCAUUGGGCGUAAAGAGCGUGUAGGCGGCUUGGUAAGUCCGCUGUGAAAGUCCAGGGCUCAACCCUGGAAUGCCGGUGGAAACUGCCAAGCUCGAGUCCGGAAGAGGCGAGUGGAAUUCCUGGUGUAGCGGUGAAAUGCGCAGAUAUCAGGAGGAACACCAAUGGCGAAAGCAGCUCGCUGGGACGGUACUGACGCUGAGACGCGAAAGCGUGGGGAGCAAACAGG
RNAcentral lists this ribosomal RNA (253 nucleotides) under uncultured bacterium. RNAcentral's name for it is "partial 16S ribosomal RNA". It matches the Rfam family "Bacterial small subunit ribosomal RNA", at positions 524 to 776 of the family's 1533-position model. The record is from RNAcentral.